This 73-nucleotide transfer RNA is filed under the name Clytia hemisphaerica. RNAcentral's name for it is "tRNA-Ala for anticodon AGC". It matches the Rfam family "tRNA". From Rfam's summary of the family: Transfer RNA (tRNA) molecules are approximately 80 nucleotides in length. Their secondary structure includes four short double-helical elements and three loops (D, anti-codon, and T loops). Further hydrogen bonds mediate the characteristic L-shaped molecular structure. tRNAs have two regions of fundamental functional importance: the anti-codon, which is responsible for specific mRNA codon recognition, and the 3' end, to which the tRNAs corresponding amino acid is attached (by aminoacyl-tRNA synthetases). tRNAs cope with the degeneracy of the genetic code in two manners: having more than one tRNA (with a specific anti-codon) for a particular amino acid; and 'wobble' base-pairing, i.e. permitting non-standard base-pairing at the 3rd anti-codon position. Lineage: Eukaryota; Metazoa; Cnidaria; Hydrozoa; Leptothecata; Clytiidae. The record is from Rfam by way of RNAcentral.
GGGGGACUAGCUCAAAUGGUAGAGCGCUCGCUUAGCAUGCGAGAGGGACGGGGAUCAAUGCCCCGGUCCUCCA